This 83-nucleotide transfer RNA is filed under the name Rosa chinensis. RNAcentral describes it as "sRNA RchiOBHm_Chr6g0285291". It matches the Rfam family "tRNA". From Rfam's summary of the family: Transfer RNA (tRNA) molecules are approximately 80 nucleotides in length. Their secondary structure includes four short double-helical elements and three loops (D, anti-codon, and T loops). Further hydrogen bonds mediate the characteristic L-shaped molecular structure. tRNAs have two regions of fundamental functional importance: the anti-codon, which is responsible for specific mRNA codon recognition, and the 3' end, to which the tRNAs corresponding amino acid is attached (by aminoacyl-tRNA synthetases). tRNAs cope with the degeneracy of the genetic code in two manners: having more than one tRNA (with a specific anti-codon) for a particular amino acid; and 'wobble' base-pairing, i.e. permitting non-standard base-pairing at the 3rd anti-codon position. The record is from Rfam by way of RNAcentral. Lineage: Eukaryota; Viridiplantae; Streptophyta; Magnoliopsida; Rosales; Rosaceae.
UAGAGUUUAGUUCAAAGGUUUAGAACUUUAGACUCAUGAUCUAAACACUAGCUGCACCAUAAAAUGCUCAAUCCUAGUUCUAA